CUUCCUCUCCAUCGUGCGAACCCAUGCCUCCUUUUCUCCAUCAGUCUCUCCCCUUCCACCUCUAUACGCACUUGCACUCGAUUACAAACAUGCAUACACCCUUAUUGUUUCCCCCUCUUACACGCACAACUCUCUUAUGCUCUCUCUUCUCUCCUUCUCUUGGCCACAGGGAUUUUAUGAUGCUUCUCGUCCUGCUUGGCAGCAUUGCAUGUGUUCCUUCAUCCUAGACUGAGAAACCUUAUUGACUUCUCUGUUCGCAGACAAGCUGAUCGAGCUGAUCAAGCUUUAACUUCACCUCAUUUGGGAUUUUUUUAACCUCCUGUCAGAAUCCAGGAUGUAUGGAAAUCUUUACAGCCCAAACAAGCGUCUAUGUACGAGGCAAAGAAGGAAGAACUUCUGAGGACAGAUGAAGCAGACAGGAAGUGUGAAGAAGAGAAGGACAUACGGCCUGGAGGUAAACGGGAUCAUAUCAGAUUACAGGGACUAAGCAUCAGACAAAAAGCUGCAAAGCAACAAAAUGUGAUUAUUUUGAAGGGGUGAUUCUUAUUUCCACUGUACACAUGAAUGGCAGGACCCUAGGUUUCCUUGCAGAAUUUUGACCAGAGAUUCACAGUGCAUCUGCUGACUUGCCUUCUUCCCUCAGACAUAUUAGCUGUGGGUUCCCAGAAACAUCAACGAGUCCUUGGAUUUCCCAUGACCCAGCAGCCAUUUGGUAGGUACUAACCACUGUAUACUGGGGACACUCCACAAGUUGCUCAGAUCUUGCCCAAUUUUCUUGCUUCCAACAGAACAACUUUAUGAGCUUAUUGUUCACUUGCUGUCUAAUAUAUCCCACCCAUUGAAAGGUGCCAUUGUAAAAUGAUAAUCAAUGUUAUUACAUUCACCAAUCAGUGGGUUCAACAAAUGCUAUAUGUACGUUUACAUUUUCAAUUUCAAUUUGCUUAACUCAUGCACUGCUACAGCAACAUUUCUGACUCUGGUGGGACAGACAGCAGUGUGUGUUUCAUUAAGCCCAGAAAUUCUUGAAUUUAAGGGCUGCUUCUUUAUCCCACAGUUCUCACAGUUCUUUUCCCAACAUGCUACCCUACUUUUGUCUCACACAUUCACAAGACAAUGACCAACAAGCAACCGUUGCCAGGAGUCCAUUAGUGGCUUCUCAGCAAUAUCCUGGAUCUCGUUUUCAUUAAAUGGAAUAAGCCUUUAGAAGGAGUAUCAUAUGGUAGUUGAUAUAGGAGGACCCAUGUGAUCUGCAUUCUCAGCUUGCCCAUUCAUAAUAAUAUUAAUUCUGGGUGCUCAAUACUUUGAAAAGUUCUGGCUGAAACAAUUCCAAUUCCUUAAACAAACCCAUUUAGCACAAAAAGCACACAUAAAGGACAUGACAAAUAUACUAUAAAAAACAACAAGGGUAUGUAUACUUUUUAGAAAAUUAUAUUAUUUUCAACUAGAUGAUUAGACCAUAGUAUUUUGCUGGGACAGUGGGUGUGAUUCAGUUCACUUUCUCGCUUUCUCACAGAUUCACUGGUUAUCCACCAACAAGCAGGCUGUAAUGAUGGCUGAAUUCCUUGUUCAUUCCUUAAUUCAUUGUAAUAAUUGAAAAAAGAAAAAAAUAAAUAAUGAAGGCAGUUUUCCAAAAGCUUUGUUUCUUGUCAAAUACGAUACUUUCAAUAGUUUUACUAUAGUGUCUGUAUCCAGUUAAUAACUUGCUUUUAUAGCAACUAACAUAUCACAUUAAUCCCAAACUCCAAAGGUGAACACAGACUGGACAAUUUAAAUGAUGACUCAGAUAGACAGUGCCCAAGUGAUGACGGCUUGGUGAGUCACUGAUACCGCACUCCUGUACUUAUUGGCCAAGAUGUCAGGCAACUCACUGCUAUCUUGAUUUUUUUUGCAUCAUAUGGAUCGGUUGGCAUUUAGGAGGGUGAAGCUGUGGGAAUAGUAAAGCCAGCAUGGGGCUCACCUGCCUUGUGCUAUUUGUAAUUAGGGAAUACUAUGUUCAUUCUACUGGUAGGCAUCUCUGUGAACCUCUUUUACUAUGUAUACAGUGCCCCAACAAGAUGUGAUGGGAUCAUAAACAAAACCUUGCCCGCUGGACAGUGACUACUGAACAGUUAUUGUGUCCUGAAGGCAAUGUCUCAAGGACACAAACAACAACUCUGCUGUUGGCAUUUUAGGCUUUGAUGACUGUGCAAGUCAUCAAUGUCAUAUACAAGUCAUGAAUGUCUGGCAUUGUUGAUCAUGUGGAAUUUCUGUCAUCUGCCCAUCAAACACAGGACACAUCAUGACUUGUAUAUUUUCUCUUGCAAAACUAUAGAAUUUCUAUUCAUGUCCUUCAUUUUGGCACUGUUAUACAACAGUGUUUUACAGUAGGUAAAUGUCCAAAGGUCUUCCCCAAAGCCUUCCUAGAAUAGUCAAGUGUAUCAUAUCACCAAAGGGGAGACUAUCUGGCAAGGACAAAACACAUAUGGGUCCUCAUACUUUUUGUCAUAGGGCGCAUCAACACUGUUCAAGUACUUUUCCUGUUUCAUAGGUAGACAUUCCAAUGUAUG
Tachysurus fulvidraco (yellow catfish) is the source of this 2546-nucleotide long non-coding RNA. RefSeq lists it as uncharacterized. The transcript has 5 exons. Lineage: Eukaryota; Metazoa; Chordata; Actinopteri; Siluriformes; Bagridae. The record is from RefSeq and is a predicted model, not a curated record.